RNAcentral lists this ribosomal RNA (286 nucleotides) under uncultured Burkholderia sp. RNAcentral describes it as "partial 16S ribosomal RNA". It matches the Rfam family "Bacterial small subunit ribosomal RNA", at positions 505 to 790 of the family's 1533-position model. The record is from RNAcentral. Lineage: Bacteria; Pseudomonadati; Pseudomonadota; Betaproteobacteria; Burkholderiales; Burkholderiaceae.
GUGCCAGCCGCCGCGGUAAUACGUAGGGUGCAAGCGUUAAUCGGAAUUACUGGGCGUAAAGCGUGCGCAGGCGGUUCGCUAAGACAGAUGUGAAAUCCCCGGGCUUAACCUGGGAACUGCAUUUGUGACUGGCGGGCUAGAGUAUGGCAGAGGGGGGUAGAAUUCCACGUGUAGCAGUGAAAUGCGUAGAGAUGUGGAGGAAUACCGAUGGCGAAGGCAGCCCCCUGGGCCAAUACUGACGCUCAUGCACGAAAGCGUGGGGAGCAAACAGGAUUAGAUACCCUGG